Molecule: ribosomal RNA, 439 nt
Filed under: uncultured bacterium
Lineage: Bacteria
Description: partial 16S ribosomal RNA
Rfam family: Bacterial small subunit ribosomal RNA
Source: RNAcentral
UAGGGAAUCUUCCACAAUGGACGCAAGUCUGAUGGAGCAACGCCGCGUGAGUGAAGAAGGCUUUCGGGUCGUAAAACUCUGUUAUUGAAGAAGAACGUGCGUGACAGUAACUGGUCAUGCAGUGACGGUAUUCAAUCAGAAAGUCACGGCUAACUACGUGCCAGCAGCCGCGGUAAUACGUAGGUGGCAAGCGUUGUCCGGAUUUAUUGGGCGUAAAGCGAGUGCAGGCGGUCUUUUAAGUCUGAUGUGAAAGCCUUCGGCUUAACCGAAGAAGGGCAUCGGAAACUGGGAGACUUGAGUGCAGAAGAGGAGAGUGGAACUCCAUGUGUAGCGGUGAAAUGCGUAGAUAUAUGGAAGAACACCAGUGGCGAAGGCGGCUCUCUGGUCUGUAACUGACGCUGAGGCUCGAAAGCGUGGGGUAGCAAACAGGAUUAGAUAC